Triticum aestivum (bread wheat) is the source of this 2288-nucleotide RNA transcript. RefSeq lists it as uncharacterized. The transcript is spliced from 6 exons. The record is from RefSeq and is a predicted model, not a curated record. NCBI's taxonomy places the organism in Eukaryota, Viridiplantae, Streptophyta, Magnoliopsida, Poales, Poaceae.
ACCCUAGAUCCCGUGCCAUCCCGUUCCCUCCCCCCUCCUAGAAAAGGACAAACCCUCGUACAGAGAGCAGAUCAGAUCUGAGUAGCGCCGAGGCUUCCGGGAUGGAGAACUUCAGGAUGGACGACGACGACGAGUUGUUCCACCGCUACGACCCUGAGGUGCUGGCCGCCAACGGCAUCGAGUACCCCCCCGACGAUACUAGGAUGCGCAUGAAGUGGUGGGCUUUUCUGAUGCAAGUAGAGGGUAAUUUGAGACCUACAAAUAUGUCGGUACCUUCGGCAAAGAUCAUCAGGUACCCAGAUAGAUCAAAUGGAGAAGGCAUGGGGAUGGUGGAGGCUGCUGCCCAUCUAUCAGGGCCUCGGUUCGGACAUGCCCCUCUACCGGGAGUACCUCUGCGAGUACUACCUCCGCAAUCCUCCUGAAUCUGUCGAUGACUCUGCCUGUACCAGGCACAAGUUUGUGGUCCGAUCUGCAUGGACAAAUGAGAAUGGCCGUCUCAUUCCUCUCGCCCGCAAGGUAAUUUACUUGGAAACCUCCUGCCUGCAUCUGGUAGAUGUUUGACCCAUGUAUCAGGAAAGGUUUUAAGAACUGUGGUGUGCCAUAGUAUUUAGGUUCCCAAAAGUAGCCUAUUCCCCAUCUUUUUAUGGAUUGUAGUGUAUCUUUAAUAUAUUGCUCAUAUUAUUGUGUUUCAUGUGCGCUACUGAUGAUAGAUUGGUUGACUUUUCUUUUUGCAUGAUCAGUUUAUUUGUUAAUACUCUGACUCGGCACUCAAUCUAUAGAGUUCCCAGAAGCAUCCUACUAGGUAGGCACCUAGUAGAAAGAAUUUCUAUCCUACCAAUUCCUUCAAUGUAGUGCGUAAACGUUGUUUGGUCUCCAUAAUACAAACCACUCAUAAACUGGCUCUUCUUCAGUUUCUGGAAUAACUGAAAGUAUUUUUGCCCUGCUUCAUUUCUAGCUCGAUUGAAUGGUCAUCUAUUCUUUAACUGCUUGCUAAUCUACUUGCUUAUAUCAAUUGCAAAACGAUGGUUUCAAGUGCCUGGAGAUGGAGGCCAAGUUCAUCGGUCUGUGUGAGAGGAACAAGAUAAAAUUAACUGACACUGAGACUGCCCUGAGCCACAAAAUCAAGCAGCAUGCGCAGGACAUAGUUGAUGGAGCGUGUGAAUAUGCUGGUGCAUAUGCUGCCGCUGCUGCUUUGGUGUGUAUCUGCAAAGAGGCUGAGUUGAUGUGCGAGAGGGCUAUGUGCGGGAGAUACAACUCUGGUAACUUGACUUGCAUGCUCUGCAAUCAGCUCAGAGAGCAUGCCAUCAGUCUUAUGUUGUACAAAGGGUCUGGAUCCAUCGCCGCCGCUGCUGGUGCCGCCAUGGUGGUAAGAAAGUGUCUGGCUCGCCCAAAUGCUGACCUUUCUACCUUCACUGUUUUUCAUAGAUACGUAGAUCUGUACACAUUGCAUGAAAUUUACUGCAAAAACGAUGGUUCAAGCAGGGCGCUGCAAAGGAGGCCAAGCUGUUACGUGAGAAUCUGAGCAAUCUAAGCUGUGAUGAAGAAAUGUCUGUUUCCAUUCGGGAGGAAGCCUGUUGCAUUCUGCAGGACAUGCACACUGAAGCUUUUGGUGCUAAUGGGAAGAACAACAUUGCUGCUGCUGCUGCUGCUGGAGCAGAUAUAUCUACUAGGCACGGAUCAGCACUGUUGGGAAUUUGACUUGUACUGCAGCUAAUAACAAGAAAGAGCUAGGAAGUAAUGGUUGUACAGAAUGGAAUGAUGAUAAGGAAAACAUGGAGAGUAGUAAUGGGAACAACAUUGUUGCUGCUGCUGCUGGAGUAGGGAAAUCUUCAAGGAUCAGAGCUCUUGGGGACUUGACUUGUACUGCAUCUAGUGGCAAGGAAGAUAAUAAGAGGACACUAAGUAAUGGGUGUACAGAAAUGAAUGAUGCUAAGGAAAACAUGGAGAAUGUGAAUCAGAAGACUGGGGAAGAAUACAUGUGGAAAAAGAAGACCGAAGAAGAAGCUUACAUGGAAACUGCAUAAUAACUCAGGCCAAACUAGAAAAGGGAGAGAAGUGGAAGAGGAUGGCUAACUUGACGUGGGCUGAUGGUUGUGGUGGAACUUAGUUGAGAUGGUCUUUUAUAGUUGUGAGAUUGUUCUUACGGACCGUACUACUCUGUUUCCUUCAGUACCUAUAUAUAUAUUAACGUUGGAUUGAUGCGAUGGACCAUAUUUUGAACCUGCUUGGUUUGUAAUCAAAUCUGGGUAAUAUUAGCGGUCCACCUUUGGAACUGAAGUUAUGAUUUA